This 71-nucleotide transfer RNA is filed under the name Marmota monax (woodchuck). RNAcentral describes it as "tRNA.Ala". The record is from RNAcentral. Lineage: Eukaryota; Metazoa; Chordata; Mammalia; Rodentia; Sciuridae.
GGGGUUGUGGCUCAGCGGUAGAGCACUCACCUAGCAUGCGUGAGGCCCUGGGUUCGGUCCUCAGCACCACA